UACAGAGACUGCAAGCGUUAUUCGGAUUCAUUGGGCGUAAAGCGCGUGUAGGCGGUCCGGUAAGUCCGCUGUGAAAGUCGGGGGCUCAACCCUCGGAUGCCGGUGGAUACUGUCGGGCUUGAGUACGGGAGAGGCGAGUGGAAUUCCUGGUGUAGCGGUGAAAUGCGCAGAUAUCAGGAGGAACACCAAUUGCGAAGGCAGCUCGCUGGAACGUUACUGACGCUGAGACGCGAAAGCGUGGGGAGCAAACAGG
Molecule: ribosomal RNA, 253 nt
Filed under: uncultured bacterium
Lineage: Bacteria
Description: partial 16S ribosomal RNA
Rfam family: Bacterial small subunit ribosomal RNA
Source: RNAcentral